Molecule: ribosomal RNA, 606 nt
Filed under: Fusarium lunatum
Lineage: Eukaryota; Fungi; Ascomycota; Sordariomycetes; Hypocreales; Nectriaceae
Also listed under: 1 other name
Description: SSU rRNA
Rfam family: Eukaryotic small subunit ribosomal RNA
Source: RNAcentral
GUAGUUGAACCUUGGGCCUGGCUGGCCGGUCCGCCUCACCGCGUGUACUGGUCCGGCCGGGCCUUUCCCUCUGUGGAACCCCAUGCCCUUCACUGGGUGUGGCGGGGAAACAGGACUUUUACUUUGAAAAAAUUAGAGUGCUCCAGGCAGGCCUAUGCUCGAAUACAUUAGCAUGGAAUAAUAGAAUAGGACGUGUGGUUCUAUUUUGUUGGUUUCUAGGACCGCCGUAAUGAUUAAUAGGGACAGUCGGGGGCAUCAGUAUUCAAUUGUCAGAGGUGAAAUUCUUGGAUUUAUUGAAGACUAACUACUGCGAAAGCAUUUGCCAAGGAUGUUUUCAUUAAUCAGGAACGAAAGUUAGGGGAUCGAAGACGAUCAGAUACCGUCGUAGUCUUAACCAUAAACUAUGCCGACUAGGGAUCGGACGAUGUUAUUUUUUGACUCGUUCGGCACCUUACGAGAAAUCAAAGUGCUUGGGCUCCAGGGGGAGUAUGGUCGCAAGGCUGAAACUUAAAGAAAUUGACGGAAGGGCACCACCAGGGGUGGAGCCUGCGGCUUAAUUUGACUCAACACGGGGAAACUCACCAGGUCCAGACACAAUAAGGAUUG